GACGAACGCUGGCGGCGUGCUUAACACAUGCAAGUCGAACGGAAAGGCCCUGCUUUUGUGGGGUGCUCGAGUGGCGAACGGGUGAGUAACACGUGAGUAACCUGCCCUUGACUUUGGGAUAACUUCAGGAAACUGGGGCUAAUACCGGCUAGGAGCUCCUGCUGCAUGGUGGGGGUUGGAAAGUUUCGGCGGUUGGGGAUGGACUCGCGGCUUAUCAGCUUGUUGGUGGGGUAGUGGCUUACCAAGGCUUUGACGGGUAGCCGGCCUGAGAGGGUGACCGGCCACAUUGGGACUGAGAUACGGACCAGACUCCUACGGGAGGCAGCAGUGGGGAAUAUUGCACAAUGGGCGGAAGCCUGAUGCAGCAACGCCGCGUGCGGGAUGACGGCCUUCGGGUUGUAAACCGCUUUCGCCUGUGACGAAGCGUGAGUGACGGUAAUGGGUAAAGAAGCACCGGCUAACUACGUG
RNAcentral lists this ribosomal RNA (468 nucleotides) under uncultured bacterium. Its description in RNAcentral is "partial 16S ribosomal RNA". It matches the Rfam family "Bacterial small subunit ribosomal RNA", at positions 28 to 507 of the family's 1533-position model. The record is from RNAcentral.